RNAcentral lists this long non-coding RNA (1589 nucleotides) under Capsicum annuum. RNAcentral describes it as "long non-coding RNA (CANN_LNC022024)". The record is from RNAcentral. Lineage: Eukaryota; Viridiplantae; Streptophyta; Magnoliopsida; Solanales; Solanaceae.
GUCAGCGUCUAUAUAAUGUCUCCAAAGCAAACCACUUCCCACUCAAUUAAUUUCCGUUCAAAUCCCCAAUCCCUCCUGGCCGAUUUUUUCUCUCUGUUAAUUGCCGCCGUGUGUUCUACUCCCGACGGCUACCCCCGGACUUUUUCUCCAGUUAAUUCUUCUGUCCAUCCAAGGUCAAGCCCAAAUUUUUAUUUGUUGUGCUUCUUAAUUUGACGAUUGGGCCUGAUAUUAGGGAUUCGAACUAGUUCCGGUUUGAGAUGUAACUGAUUGAUUAAUUGAUCAAUUGAUUUGUUCUUGAAAAUAGGUCGAGGAACACUACUGAUUCCUAGUAUCGGUUUUUUUUUUUUUUUUUUUUUUUUUAAACGAAGCAGAUUUAAACGGGUUACAUUUACUCAUAUGAUCCAUGCAGUUUUCUUACUUAUUUGUGUCUUUUAGAUUUGAAUUAAUGGAAUUUUAAUGAGGAAUAAAUCUUGUAGGGCUUAUGGUACGAAGACGAAUGAUGAGACAUUUAUUAGCUAAUUGGAUUAAAAAGUUCUCUAUGAGAAGGAGUGCUUGAUACUUAUAUUCGUUUAUCUUAAUCGACCAAUUGAUUUAUUAUUAGAAAUAGGUGGAGGAACAUUAUUGAUUCAAAUAAUCGAUUUUUCUGGAAACGGAACAGUCAAUAUUAUUUAAACGGGUUAUAUUUUAGAGACAAUUUCAUGAUUCUUGUAGUGUUCUUGCUUAUUCAGUCUCUUUUAGAGUUGAGUGAAAGGAUAUCUAAUGAGGAAUAUUACAUGCUGUGGCUGUACCCUUCUGUUAUACUAACUUGUAGGGCUUGUAGUAUGAAGACAAAUAAUGGAACAUUUUUUAGCUACAUUGGAAUUAAUAAGUAAAUUAAUGAGAAAGAGUGCUAGACAGUGAUAAUCUAGCAGAAAUGUUUUUGGAGAACUUAGAAACUCUGCCGUCUCGAAUUAGGGUAUCUGCUUACUAUGUUGAUAAGGCUAAGUAUGAAGACAGUAAUGGGACUUCAAUCAUGAUUUUGGUAUACCUGGGUGCAAAACAGGUAAGGGAAACAACCUCUUUGCACUCCACCCUCUCCAGGACUCCACAUUGUGGGAUCAUGCUCGAUGUGCUGUUGUUUUUGAGUUCAAAACAGGAUAAAGUUACUUCUUUGUGAACUUAAACUUUAUUAGUAUAAAUUGGGAGUUAAGUUAUAUUUUCGUAAUGUGAUGUUGAAAAGGAAUCGAGUGAUUGGAAUGUUUCUUCCUUAAUAUUAGUUGAUGCAUCUUUGGAUGAAGGAAAAAGAAAAGUAGGGAAGGUCCUUGAAAGAGGGAUUGUAUAAGUUGACCACUUUCUGAGAAAAGAAAUUCACUUUUAUAAUCUGUGUUGUGUUGCGGAAAGUACCUAUGAGGGAAAGCUUAAAUGCUACUUCUAGAAAAAUUUGUACUUGUUAGGAUGCUUCAUUCACUCAGUAUGCAUUGGUUUGUUUAAUGUCUCUGCCUGGCUAGGAUUUUGAAUGGCAGUUUUCUAUUGUUUAUCAGAUGUCAUCAUUUCAAGACAGCUUGCAAAAGUUCAAGAAGCAGCAAGAGAAGUGUCAAUCUACUCUUGUU